GGCGCCAUAGCCAAGUGGUAAGGCACGGGUCUGCAAAACCCUGAUCGCCGGUUCGAAUCCGGCUGGCGCCUCCA
RNAcentral lists this transfer RNA (74 nucleotides) under Chloroflexota bacterium. RNAcentral's name for it is "tRNA-Cys". It matches the Rfam family "tRNA". Rfam says of the family: Transfer RNA (tRNA) molecules are approximately 80 nucleotides in length. RNAcentral also lists the same sequence under 2 other names. The record is from RNAcentral. Lineage: Bacteria; Bacillati; Chloroflexota.